Molecule: long non-coding RNA, 86 nt
Organism: Amblyraja radiata (thorny skate)
Lineage: Eukaryota; Metazoa; Chordata; Chondrichthyes; Rajiformes; Rajidae
Exons: 3
Source: RefSeq, a predicted model, not a curated record
GACAAUGAACCAACAAGUCAUUAAACACAUGAUACAUGAAACAGGAAAUUAAAGUGACGAGUGGAAAGGAUUGGGGAUGUGCAAAG